RNAcentral lists this long non-coding RNA (210 nucleotides) under Eucalyptus grandis. RNAcentral describes it as "long non-coding RNA (EGRA_LNC004198)". The record is from RNAcentral. Lineage: Eukaryota; Viridiplantae; Streptophyta; Magnoliopsida; Myrtales; Myrtaceae.
AAUAGAACUAGGAGGCCGGGGCAAGGGCCCUCCAUCUUAUAUGUAAUUUCCAAAAACGGUACACUAUGUGCUAAAUGCUAUCAUUGCUGCUAGAGACUUUAUCAUUGGAAGCAACGGUCACUCCAGCUUCGCUGAGAUUUUGUCCGCAAGUCCCUCGAUUACUUCAGCUUCAGUUUUAUGCAAACUGUAAGCACCAAAAGGCAUGUCCGG